Molecule: ribosomal RNA, 800 nt
Filed under: uncultured eukaryote
Lineage: Eukaryota
Description: SSU rRNA
Rfam family: Eukaryotic small subunit ribosomal RNA
Source: RNAcentral
ACCUGGUUGAUCCUGCCAGUAGUCAUAUGCUUGUCUCAAAGAUUAAGCCAUGCAUGUCUAAGUAUAAGUUUUUUACUGCGAAACUGUGAAUGGCUCAUUAUAACAGUUAUUAUUUCCUAGCCGGUCAGUUAUUCCUUGGAUACCCAUGGUAAUUCUAGAGCUAAUACAUGCUUACAGACCCAACUUCACGGAAGGGUUGCGCUUAUUAGAUACGAACCAACCCCGCAAGGGAUUCAGUUGAUUCAUAGUAUUCUGGCGAAUCGACUUUCAGUCGAUGAGGCUAUCAAGUUUCUGACCUAUCAGCUUCCGACGGUAGGGUAUUGGCCUACCGUGGCUUUGACGGGUAACGGAGAAUUAGGGUUCGAUUCCGGAGAGGGAGCCUGAGAAACGGCUACCACAUCUAAGGAAGGCAGCAGGCGCGUAAAUUACCCAAUCCUGACACAGGGAGGUAGUGACAAGAAAUAUCAAUAUAAGACUUUUGUGUCUUGUAAUUGGGAUGAGCGGAACUUAAAUCGCUUCUCGAGUAUCAAUUGGAGGGCAAGUCUGGUGCCAGCAGCCGCGGUAAUUCCAGCUCCAAUAGCGUAUAUUAAAAUUGUUGCGGUUAAAACGCUCGUAGUUGGAUAUCUGUGAGCGGGUUCCGGUCCUUCCCAGUGAAGAUUACACGGAACUCUGCUCGCAUUUGUUCAGGGAGGGUGGAUGCACUUCAUUGUGUGACCACAUGAUCUGAAUUUUUACUUUGAGGAAAUGAGAGUGUUCCAAGCAGGCAAUCGCCGUGAAUAUGAUAGCAUGGAAUAAUAGCA